GUUGUUACAAAGUGAUAGAGACAACAUACUGCCCUCUCUCCAUACUGUCAAAAUUUUCCUUCUUGUGAAAGACAUGGCAGCAGCAUCUUUUCUCUUCAGCAUUGCAAACUCCAUCUUAGGUAAAUUAGGAUCUCAUGCUGUUCAAGAGUUACUUGAUUUGGGGUGUUAAAAAUGAGCUCAAAAAAAUUCAACAAAACCUUAAUCACUAUCAGAGAGGUACUGUUGGAUGCUGAGGAUCAAGAAUCCAAGAAUCAUGAGUUAAAAGAACUCAAAGAUGUUCUUUAUGAUGCUGAUGAUUUUCUUGAUGAAAUUCAGACUUAUGUACAACAGAGUCAAAGGUUAAAACCAAAGGUUUGUUUUUUAUUCUCACCCUUUAAAUUUCUACUUUUUAGAUAUAGAAUGGGUUAUAAGGUGAAAGAAAUAAGGGAGAGAUUAGAUAGUAUUGCAGCUGAUAAGGCUAAAUUCCACUUAUCUGAGAGAACAAUUGCCUUAGAAAUGAAUAAAAGGGAUUUGACUUAUUCAUUUAUUCUUCCUUCUGAUGUUGUUGGAAGGAGGAAUGAGAGUGAAGAGGUUGUUAAAGUUCUGAUGCAAAAGGGUGUUUUUUAUGAUCAGUGUCUCUCUGUGGUAUCAAUUGUUGGGAUUGGUGUGUGGGGAAAACUAUACUUGCUAAGUUAGUGUAUAGAGAUGAGAGGUUAGUAAAGAACUUUCCUGUGAGGAUUUGGUUAUGUGCCUCACAGGAUUUCGACGUUGCAAAAUUGUCUAGAAGCAACGUUAAUUUGGCGAGUGGUGCCUCUUGUGAUAACUUUAAUGUUGAACCAGUCCACGCUUCGCUUCAAGCUGCUUUGAGGGGGAAGAGGUUUUUACUCAUCGUUGAUGAUGUUUGGUGUCGGGAUCAUUCCAAGUGGUUGGAAUUGAGAAGUUUAUUGAUAGUUGGAGCGAGUGGAAGCAAGGUUGUCAUAACUACUCGUAGUGAUUAUAUUGUCUCGAUGAUGGAAUAUGUCGUUACAUAUAACUUGAAGGAGCUUCCACAUGAGGAUUGCCUCUCUUUGUUUCUAAAGUGGGCGUUUAGGAACGGACAAGAGAGGCUUUUCCGAACCUUACUAAAAUUGGAGAAGAUAUUGUGAAGAAAUGUAAAGGAGUGCCUUUGGCAGUAAAGACUCUCGGAAGCAUGAUGUAUGUGUCAACAGAUGAACGGGAAUGGUUAAGAGUGAGAGACAACGAGAUAUGGCAACUAAAUCAGGAAGGUGAUGAUAUCUUACCUGCACUAAGGUUAAGCUAUAAUCAGUUGCCAUAUUACUUGAAGCAAUGCUUUGCUUACUGCUCAAUAUUUCCCAAGGGUCAAGAAAUCGUGAGCAGUAUGCUGAUUCAGUUGUGGUCGGCUCAAGGGCUAUUACAUUCAUCUAACGAAAGCCAAGAGUUGGAAGAUGUUGGUGUCCACGAUGUGAAAGAGUUGUGCUCGAGAUCUCUUUUCUUAAGAGGUUGAAGCGUAUGACUCGUUCAUAAGUAUUUAAAUGCAUGAUCUUGUGCAUGACCUUGCAGUAUUAGUUGCACAAACUGAUUGUUGUGUCAUAAAAAACAACACUGAUAGUAUCACUGAAAAGGUUCAUCAUGUAACACUUUUCAGUUAUAGUCCUUCAGAGGAAAGCAUUCCUGGAAUUUUAUGUAAACAGAAGAGAAUUCAGACCAUUUUUGCUCCGUCUGAAGGAAAUGAAAGAUAUGCUGCUCUUUUGGUUGGUUAAUGCAUUUCAAGAUUCAAGUACUUGAGGGUGUUAGAUUUACGCCAUUCAAGUCUUGAGACGCUGCCAGAUUCUAUCGGAAACAUGAAGCAUCUAAGGUACAUUGAUUUUAGUGGCAGCAAUAACAUCCAAAUGCUUCCCUCAAACAUCUGCAAGUUGCCUAAUCUGCAAACUUUACGGAUUGUUCUCUGCACGAAACUUCAGAAAUUACCAAGGGAGCUGGGAAUAUUUGGUCAGUCUAAGACAUCUGUACUUGACAACCAAAGAGCAGAAUUUGCCGGAGAAAGGAUUGGGGUCCUUGGCACUUCUUCAAUCCCUGUCCAUAUUAGGAUGUGAAAAUCUUGUAUCUCUAUUUGAAGGAAUACAGAAGCUCACGAAACUUAGGACUCUAGUUAUCGGUGAUUGUCCGAGGCUUAAAACUCUGCCAAGAGGCAUAGUUCAUUUAUCUGCCUUAGAGAGCUUUAUGAUUGUCAACUGUGAAGAGCUUAUGUUGUCCGAUUGGCAAGAUUUUGAGGGUCUAAAGAGAAUCCGGUCACUUGUAAUCGGAGGACUUCCACAUUUGGUGUCUUUGCCAGAGUGGUUGAAAGGGGAUUCUAAUAGUCUAAAGUUCAUUCGCAUCUCGACAUGUCCAAGCUUCAUAGCAAUGCCUGAUUGGCUGGAAAACUCCACGUCCCUCGAGAAGCUUGAGAUAACAGGGUGCCCAAAAUUCUCAUCUCUCCCGGAUAGCAUGAGUUGUCUUACUACAUUGAGGAUGUUGAAAAUUCAGAAAUGUCCUCAAUUAACUAGACGAUGCGAAAAUGAUGCUGGAGAGAAUUGGAGAAAGAUUGCUCACAUCCAGAAAAUUCAUCUCAAUGAUAUCACAAUAUAUAACUAGGUGAGAUGAAUGUGUCUACAUCACAUGUAAGUUCAGGGAUCAUAGCUCAGAAUGACCAUGACCUACUGAAGAGUGAAGAUCACAUCAUUUUAUCUCUUAUUCAUUUUCAAAACAAUUUUUUUUGUUUAAACAGCAUGUAUGUAUUCUAAACUCACUGCUCGACCAAUUCAAAGUCGCAUCUGGUAGGCCAUUAAGAGGGGUAUAUAUGUUAAAGCUUGUUGAGAAUAUGUCUCAGGAUGUUGCAGUAAUAAAUCAGUUAUUAUUAGAGUCCUAUGUGACUUGAAUUUAAGAGUUAGUUUUUUAUUUAUUAUUUGGAUUUACUGAUAAGUUAGUAACAUAUUUUUCUAUUUUUAGUUAGAAAUUAUAUCUAUAAAUGUAAGUCUUUGGAUUAUUAAUAAACUAAUUUCCUUUGAUAAUAUUGCAA
Solanum pennellii is the source of this 3034-nucleotide long non-coding RNA. RefSeq lists it as uncharacterized. NCBI's taxonomy places the organism in Eukaryota, Viridiplantae, Streptophyta, Magnoliopsida, Solanales, Solanaceae. The record is from RefSeq and is a predicted model, not a curated record. The transcript has 2 exons.